UACGGAGGGGGCUAGCGUUGUUCGGAUUUACUGGGCGUAAAGCGCACGUAGGCGGCAUAUCAAGUUAGGCGUGAAAGGCCUGGGCUCAACCCGGGAACUGCGCUUAAGACUGAUAAGCUAGAGUCCGGGAGAGGGCAGUGGAAUUCCCAGUGUAGAGGUGAAAUUCGUAGAUAUUGGGAAGAACACCGGUGGCGAAGGCGGCUGCCUGGCCCGGUACUGACGCUGAUGUGCGAAAGCGUGGGGAGCAAAC
Molecule: ribosomal RNA, 250 nt
Filed under: uncultured bacterium
Lineage: Bacteria
Description: partial 16S ribosomal RNA
Rfam family: Bacterial small subunit ribosomal RNA
Source: RNAcentral